GCGCCUACGGGAGGCAGCAGUGGGGAAUAUUGGGCAAUGGGCGCAAGCCUGACCCAGCAACGCCGCGUGAAGGAAGAAGGCUUUCGGGUUGUAAACUUCUUUUCUCAGGGACGAAGCAAGUGACGGUACCUGAGGAAUAAGCCACGGCUAACUACGUGCCAGCAGCCGCGGUAAUACGUAGGUGGCAAGCGUUAUCCGGAUUUACUGGGUGUAAAGGGCGUGCAGCCGGGAAGACAAGUCAGAUGUGAAAUCCCGCGGCUCAACCGCGGAACUGCAUUUGAAACUGUUUUUCUUGAGUACCGGAG
RNAcentral lists this ribosomal RNA (305 nucleotides) under uncultured bacterium. RNAcentral's name for it is "bacterial SSU rRNA". It matches the Rfam family "Bacterial small subunit ribosomal RNA", at positions 335 to 654 of the family's 1533-position model. The record is from RNAcentral.